AGUGAACGCUGGCGGUAGGCCUAACACAUGCAAGUCGAACGGCAGCACAGUAAGAGCUUGCUCGUACGGGUGGCGAGUGGCGGACGGUUGAGGAAUACAUCGGAAUCUACUUUUUCGUGGGGGAUAACGUCGGGAAACUUACGCUAAUACCGCAUACGACCUACGGGUGAAAGCAGGGGAUCUUCGGACCUUGCGCGAUUGAAUGAGCCGAUGUCGGAUUAGCUAGUUGGCGGGGUAAAGGCCCACCAAGGCGACGAUCCGUAGCUGGUCUGAGAGGAUGAUCAGCCACACUGGAACUGAGACACGGUCCAGACUCCUACGGGAGGCAGCAGUGGGGAAUAUUGGACAAUGGGCGCAAGCCUGAUCCAGCAAUACCGCGUGGGUGAAGAAGGCCUUCGGGUUGUAAAGCACUUUUGUUGGGAAAGAAAAGCAGCAGGUUAAUACCACGCUGUUCUGACGGUACCCAAAGAAUAAGCACCGGCUAACUUCGUG
Molecule: ribosomal RNA, 492 nt
Filed under: uncultured bacterium
Lineage: Bacteria
Description: partial 16S ribosomal RNA
Rfam family: Bacterial small subunit ribosomal RNA
Source: RNAcentral